AACGAACGCUGGCGGCAGGCUUAAUACAUGCAAGUCGAGCGGGCACUUCGGUGUCAGCGGCGCACGGGUGCGUAACGCGUGGGAACAUGCCUUUAGGUACGGAACAACCAAGGGAAACUUUGGCUAAUACCGUAUAAUAUCUCUGGAUCAAAGAUUUAUCGCCUAAAGAUUGGCCCGCGUUAGAUUAGGUAGUUGGUGGGGUAAUGGCCUACCAAGCCGACGAUCUAUAGGGGGUCUGAGAGGAUGAUCCCCCACACUGGAACUGAGACACGGUCCAGACUCCUACGGGAGGCAGCAGUAAGGAAUAUUGGACAAUGGGCGAAAGACUGAUCCAGCCAUGCCGCGUGAGUGAUGAAGGCCUUAGGGUUGUAAAGCUCUUUUAGAUGGGAAGAUAAUGACUGUACCAACAGAAUAAGCCCCGGCUAAAUUCGUG
Molecule: ribosomal RNA, 433 nt
Filed under: uncultured bacterium
Lineage: Bacteria
Description: partial 16S ribosomal RNA
Rfam family: Bacterial small subunit ribosomal RNA
Source: RNAcentral